Myotis brandtii (Brandt's bat) is the source of this 300-nucleotide long non-coding RNA. RefSeq lists it as uncharacterized. Lineage: Eukaryota; Metazoa; Chordata; Mammalia; Chiroptera; Vespertilionidae. The record is from RefSeq and is a predicted model, not a curated record. The transcript is spliced from 2 exons.
GGAGGCGAAAACAACUGUACAGUCUCUGCUUUGAUAAGGAAACUGCCAGCUGCAGAAGUUCAGCGGCAAAGGGAGGACUGCAGCCGCAUGAACCAAGCGCUCCUGAACUUAAACUGCAUUGCUUUCUGUCCAGAUAUUCCAGUGGAGGCAGUUGGAAAACCUGUAUUUCAGAGAAAAGAAGUUUUCCGUGGAAGUUCAUGACCCACGCAGGGAGAGGAUGGGUGAUCGUGGAGAACAGUUGAAAUCAGACAGUAAAGCUUUGUUUUGUUCUAUGUAUGUCGAUAAAUGCGGUGGGUUCAA